UUAAGUCAAAUUUCUAUGCAGUUGGAACAGCGCCCCUAGCGGCAAACGUAGACAAACGUUCUAACUCCAUACAAAUUUGACUUA
This 84-nucleotide microRNA precursor is filed under the name Bombyx mori (domestic silkworm). RNAcentral's name for it is "mir-2807 microRNA precursor family". It matches the Rfam family "mir-2807 microRNA precursor family". Lineage: Eukaryota; Metazoa; Arthropoda; Insecta; Lepidoptera; Bombycidae. The record is from Rfam by way of RNAcentral.